AAGUAUUUAAUAAGCUCAUUUGGGAAAGAAAUUUUGAAUCUUCUCUCCUCUGAAUUCAGCUUGUUAUAAUAGCUGCAUUGAUGAAUAAUCAACAUUCCGUCCUCCUUUCUUCCCAGAAUUUUAGGGUAUCUCUGUGGAGAUCUUGAGAUAUGUUUGUAUAAGGCAGACUAUCAGCUCCUAUGUGUGGUGUAUGGUUGUGGAUGAAGAAAGAAUCCAGAAUUUAUUUAGGAAUGCAAUAAGCCUAGCCAAAAGUUGGCAUUUCUGAGCUUCAUCAAGCAAGUGGCUACAUCCUGACUGAUGAUAUGGGCUAGAGGGAAACAAAAAAGCUGCAAGAAGGAAAACGGACUUAUACCUACCAACUUGCAUUCUGUUCCGGUCAACAAUAUCCCAGAAAUGACUUCAUGCUGUGAAAUUGGCUCUUAUCUCCAAAAUUUCACUGGUACUCCCAGAACCAGCUUCAUAUACCCACUUAGAGAAAUAAAGGAGAAUAUAAAAUGUAAGUAAGUUUGGAGUAAUUUCCACUACUGAAGCAAAG
Molecule: long non-coding RNA, 535 nt
Filed under: Vulpes vulpes (red fox)
Lineage: Eukaryota; Metazoa; Chordata; Mammalia; Carnivora; Canidae
Description: lncRNA (ENSVVUG00000003309.1)
Source: RNAcentral